This is a long non-coding RNA of Myotis myotis, 2381 nucleotides long. RefSeq lists it as uncharacterized. The transcript has 4 exons. The record is from RefSeq and is a predicted model, not a curated record. NCBI's taxonomy places the organism in Eukaryota, Metazoa, Chordata, Mammalia, Chiroptera, Vespertilionidae.
GUGGCAAAAUUACAGUUAAGAAGUAGCAACAAAAAUAAUUUUAUGGUUGGGGGUCACCACAACAUGAACUACUAAAGGGUCGCGGCAUUAGGAAGAUUGAGAACCACUGGCCUAGGACAUUACAGUAGACUGACAACACUUGGGCUACAUGAAAUUUAUAAACUUUUUUCAUAAUUAAAUUUAGCUUACUGUAACUUUUUACCUUUGUCUUAAUUUUUUGAAUCUUUUAUAAUAACACUAAGCUUAAAACACUUUUUGUACAUCUGUACAGAAAUGUUUUCUUUAUAUUCUUAUUCAGUACACAUUUUUCCUACUAAAAUUAAAAAAAAAUUUUUAGACUUUGUUAAAAAUUAAGACAUAAACACAAUUAGCCCAGGCCCAUAGGGUCAUCAGUAUCACUGCCUUCUACCUCCGUAUCUUGUUCCACUGGAAGGUCUACAGGGGGGCAAUAACAUACAUGGAGCUCUCAUCUAUGACAACAGUGCCUCCUGAAAACUUCCUGGAGGACCUGCCUUAAGGCUAUUUCUGAAGCUGUUACUCUUCAAAAAUUUGACCAUUGUGGUUUGCUGGGCUUGUUUUUCUAUUACUGGUUGACUGCAGGUAACUGAAACCAUGGAAAGGGGCACUGCAGAUAAGGGGGACUACAGUAAAACAGUUCUCAAGGAAACAAGUAAAAUCAGAAGUUGGAUUCAAGCUGGAAGCAAAAUGGGUGGAACUGGUCAAUCCACUAGCCAAUACCACCAAGCACGAUAGUCUGGUGCACUGCUGUGCUAGGAAACCACACCGUCAUGAAGACAUCCUGGAGUCUGCCAAUGAGGACAGGGGCAGUCCACCAACAAGGAACGACAUUUCACGGACAAGCUAUAUUGACAUUCAAGAGCAAGGCUCCUGGCUCUGAGUUCAAGAUGGCAGAGUAGGAAGAUCCUGAGUUCACCUCCUCUCAUUGACACCAAAACUACAACUAUAUAUAGAACAGCUCUCUGAGAAUGACCUGAAGACUAGCAGAGCAGAUUUUCUACAGCUAUGGAUAUAAAGGAAAAGCCACAUUGAAACAGUGUUAGGAAGGAUUUUUGCUAUUUGAAGGAGUGGAUUAUGAGGGCAGUGACAGCAACAAAGACAGUGAUAACAACUCGGGGGGUUUGCAUUGGAAUCUACCUCAGGAUCCUAGAGAGGAGCUGACUCAGCAGAGUGGAAAAAGCAGGUACUAGAAUCAGACCUAUCUCUCUGCACGGGCAUUAAGGGUAGGGUCCCAACUGAGUAGUCUCUCUAGCUUUAAUGCUUGGCACAUGGUGGGCGUUCAAUAAAUGCUUGUUGAAUGAGUGGUUCAAACAUCAAAUACUAUUUUUUCUCAGGUUAUGAAUUUCUAAAAUUAGAAACUAAUUACUUGAAAGAUGGCAUACUUUUUGUUUUUUUACUUUUCAUUGAAAUAAUUCUCAACAUACAGAAAAGUUGCAAAUAUUGAGAAUUUUGACAUAUUUAUAUUCACGAGGACUUUACAUUUUGCUACAUUUUCUCUUUUGCAAAAAGACUAUUUUAGAGCAGUUUUAGAUUUAUAACGAAACUAGAGGCCCGGUGCACAACAUUCGUGCACUGGGGGAGUGGGGGAGGGGGGGUGGCCCUCAUCCUGGCCUUCAAUAUUGGGUUGGCUAUUUUGGGUCUUUUGCCUCUCCAUAUAAACUUUACAAUUAGUUUAUUGCCAUCCACAAAAUUACUUGCUGGGAUUUUAAUUGAAUUGCAUUGAAUCUAUAGAUCAAGUUGAGAAGACUGACAUCUUGACAAUAUUGACCAUACCUGCUUGUUAAUGAACAUGGAAUUUACAUUUGUUUAGUUCUUCUUUGAUUUUAUUCAUUGAAAUUUUGUAGUUUUCCUUAAAAAAAAUCUUGUACAUAUUUUGUUAGAUUUAUAUCUAAAUGUUUCAUUUUUUUGGAAGCCAAUGUAAAUGGAUUGUAUUUUAAAUUUCAAAUAUCACUUGUUCAUUAUUGGUAUAUAGGAAAGCAAUUGACUUUUGUAUAUUAACCUUGUAUUCUACAACCUUGCUACAAUUGCUUAUUAGUACCAGGAGUUUUGGGUUGAUUUUUUUUCUCCAUAGACAAUCACAUCAUUUGUAACUAAGGAUAGUUUUACGUCUUCCUUCUUAACCUAUACACCUUUCAUUUCCUUUUCUUGACUUAUUGCAUUAGCAAGGCCCUCCAGUAUGGUGCUGAAAAGUAGUGGUGAGAAGGGACAUUCUUGCCUUGUACCUGUUCUUAGUGAGAAAGCUUUGAGGUUCUUGCCAUUAAAUAUGAUGUUAGCUAUAGGUUUGUUGUAAAUAAUUUUUUAAAAAAAUAUUUUAUUGAUUUUUUACAGAGAGGGAUAGAGAGUUAGAAACAUCGAUGAGAGAG